Gadus macrocephalus (Pacific cod) is the source of this 3280-nucleotide long non-coding RNA. RefSeq lists it as uncharacterized. The transcript has 2 exons. NCBI's taxonomy places the organism in Eukaryota, Metazoa, Chordata, Actinopteri, Gadiformes, Gadidae. The record is from RefSeq and is a predicted model, not a curated record.
GUGUGUGUGUGUGUGUGUGUAUGUGUGUGUGUGUGUGUGUGUCAGCAUAGCAGGCUGAGAGUGAGAGAGCGAUGGGAAAAUGCAAACAACUGAACAUGCAUAUUGCUGAGCAGGCCGGCGGUCUGUCGGACAGCACCUUAAGGCCCAGGAGUGCCUGCUCCCCCAGACGGGCUGCACUUUGACAUUGAGCCCGCCAGAAGAUCAUGGAAACCCCUGCAAUAAAUGUUACUUUGUUCUUACCCUUUCCCCCCUCUCCCAUCAGCCCCCCUCCGCCUCCCAGUAGCAGGUUCUCUGUCCAAACCAGUGACCCCUUUCUGUCCAACAACUGCAGAGUAUUUCACCCUCUUUUGCGCUUUAUCACCUCACGACACAUGAGGUCAUAAGAUGUUGAAUCCUGCCGUCAUGACACAAGCAUCUCUCUGGAAAGACCGGAACAGGAUGUCAGGCAUUCGUCCCCAACGGAGCUCCAUUGAACAAGUGCUCCGAGCUGAACCCACCACCAGUCCCCCCUCCAUCCCCAAGGGCUUCUUCCUCCUCCUCCUCCUCCUCCUCCUCCUCCUCCUCCUCCCAGAGUGGUGUAUGAUGAGGGGGGACCCGUCCUCUUGGUGACCUUCAUCAGAGAGCAGUGUUGUUGACCAUUGACAAUGUGGCCAUUGUUCUCCUGCCACGCUCAAGAGGACUGCACCACAGCCCCCCUCCCCUGGCCUCUCCUGUCUGCAACCACUUCAGCACCCCCCCGCCCUCGCUGGCGUCUCUCCCCAGCAGGUCCUGGGUGCUGGACAGCCUUGUGAAGACACCUGUUCCAGAGGACAGCCAGUCUUCAGCCGACACCACAAGCAAGGUCAUGUUGGGGCCCUGGCCUGCCACAGGCUGGACACCAUGGGAGGAUAUUGACGGAGAUACACACACAUAUAUUUUUUUUUUAUUAUUAUUUACUUAAGAGUAUGUUGGAAUUGAUAUUUGGGGUGGGGUAGGUGAUGGCAAACAUUGAAAAGAUGAAAGUGAAGGUGCUUAGGGGGGUUAAACGACACGGCUGGCCCCCAUGACCUUGGUUGCGCUGCCCUGUCGUCUGCGUUGUCAUUUCCGUCUUGGGGUUUCCCUGUGCGGAGAAGACCUUCCACACUCCUGCAGGACCACCGGCUAGCCUGCACCCUGCCUGCCUGCCAGCCCACUGCCCACCUCCUCACACACACACACACACACUUUGGUUUUGUAAAGCAAAUGAAUGAAUUAAAUAAUAUAUUCAGAGACGUAUAUAGCAUUUAAGAAAAAGGCUAAACAAAUGUAUAGAAUCCUUUUGAAUCGUGGCUCACUAAAAUUAGUCACCAAAAAAGUUUCUUGUUUUCCUUGAUUUUCUUUUUUUUUCUGGUCUAAUUUUCCUCUGUUCAUUACAACCAAAUCUAUAUUGUCAAGCUGUAGAAUUUUUCUCCUUUUUAAAUAGUUCACACUUGACACGUGUGCUGCGUUAAGUGCUAUUAGUUUUUCCUUGGAAAUGCAACGAUUUCUCUUUUCAUUAAUUAUUGUUUUAUUUUUAGCAUGAAGGGCCAUGGUGCUGCAGGUCCUUCAACCUUUAUUUUUGUUUGGAGAGGGCCGAGGCCAACAGAUGGAAUAAUCGCAUCUGUAUUCCAUCUAGAACUGACCAUCAGGCACAGUUUGGUAUGGUCAUCUGAAUUCGGCCAUAGUGCAGGCACAACACAUGUAGACUGAAUAUUUAUGGAGAGUAUAUGAGAGAUAUACAGUCAUGAGUGAGUCCAAUACCAGACCCUUCUCAGCUCAAGGACAGUCUGCGAAAAUUCUAACAAUCCAAACCUACCUGUGGAAGUGACACACACACACACACACACACACAGGCGUAGCUCAUGAUAUGCUUUGAAAUGCUGGUGAGAAAAUAAACACCCCAAAAGUGGUAUGCAGCAAGUAAAGCCAGCAGCCUGCACCUUAAACAACCAAACCUUCCUUCCCCUCGGCCGUAGUCUUACGCAGGGCUCCAUUAGGACAUCCACAUACAAACACUACCUCUAUUUUGUACACACAAGUAUAGCCUCCUUCACAUGACAAAAAGUCCAAACAUCGAUUCACAUUUAGUAGUUCUUUGGCGACAAUUUGCCGUGUUGAGAACAGCCUUGAUGGUCCUUUUCCGUAUCUUUGGGUUGGACAAGCUCGGCCGAAUCAUUAAUCAUCUCUUGCGCUGUGUGGUUGUGCGUGUGUGUGUGUGUGCGUUGCUGCUAAGGGUAAGACGAUCACUCCAGUUAUAACCCUGUCAGGGUUACUGGAGCCUUGUCAGAAAGGCUCAAUGUUUACUUGGUUUCCCUCUUCCCUUUUCCCUCUUCCCUCCUGUUCUGCAGGCUGUGAAUGGACAUCUCACAUCUCUAUUUGUGACGUUUAUCAAAACACAUGUGAAAGAAUUGUACAAAUACAAUCCGAACGUCGAUUUAGAGUCCUGCAAUCAUGAUGGAGGGUGUCCAUGUUUGGUCACCCUUCAAAACAAUCAAGUGUUAUGCUGGGAGGGAGACCAGAUCAUGCAGGUGUCGUCGACGUCGUCCCCCUCACUGCUCACAAAUGUUGUAAAGGCUUUGGCAGCUUCAAACCUAAUCAUGUCAGUCCCCCACCUCACCAUCGCACGAAUACACACACCAUUACACAUGCAUGGUGGGGGGUCCCUGCACACUUUGGAAACACACCAGGAAUGGGAAAUCUGAAAACCUUCAUUCAGUUCGCCCCCUUGACAACGUCUUGAGUGGAUGUACGAGAAAGAACUCUUCUGAGUAGAGGCAAAAACAGUGUCACCACAAGGCCAUUCCGUACCCCUAUUUGUUGCAAUAAGGGGGUUCUAAAUUGGAAAAAGGUAUCUGCGGAUCUGGUUGUUGGUCUUGGACACAGACAUUUCAUUGGGUGCUUUGUGAACAAGCAGUUAACCCGAGAAUAAAGUGACUUUGAAGCGAGUUUGCGUGAAUAUUUGAGUUGACCGUCUCUUAUUAGAGACCAGUGCCAAGCAGUGUUGCCAGAUUGGGCCCGAUUUUCCGACCAAUCUGGCAAGCAGUUUUAUUAGUUUCUCCCAAAGGGAUGAUGAUUUCCUAUACUUUCUCUGUUUUCCCCUUUUUUGUUGACGAUAAGCACUUUCAGUCUUUCCCCUGCCCUGUCUAGAGUUUUGAAGCUGUACAUAGCGUUUUCCUGCAACAAUUGCUACUUGUUAUGUCUGAAUCUUUUGAUUUUUGUUGAAUUACUUGGAGCAUAACAUUGUUGUAGUUUGAAGAACAACAAUAAAAUAGACAUUACCCGG